This 868-nucleotide long non-coding RNA is filed under the name Homo sapiens (human). RNAcentral describes it as "HSALNT0143043". Lineage: Eukaryota; Metazoa; Chordata; Mammalia; Primates; Hominidae. The record is from RNAcentral.
AGGGAGGUAUUCCUUAUCGGUACUCAAUUUUAUUUUAUUUUAUUAUGUAUUUAUUUUUGAGACGGAGUCUCACCCUGUAGCCCAUGCUGGAGUGCAAUGGCACGAUCUCGGCUCACUGCAACCUCCGCCUCCUGGGUUCAAGUGAUUCUCCUGCCUCAGCCUCCCAAGUAGCUGGGAUUACAGGCACCUGCCACCACGCCUGACUAAUUUUUUGUAUUUUUAGUAGAGACAGAGUUUCACCAUGGUGGCAAGGCUGGUCUCAAACUCCUGACCUUGUGAUCUGCCCGCCUCGGCCUCCCAAAGUGCUGGAAUUACAGGCGUGAGCCCCUGCGCCCGGCCAUCAAUUUUAUUUUUUAGAAAAGGUUGGACUAGCUGGAAAAACAGGCAAAAGGCAUAAGAUGAUGAAGCCCAGUGGAAGUGAAUGCCAUCUGGAGGGUUCUCGUUUUUUUUUACAUUUCUUCCUCAAGUUAGUUAAUGGAUAUAGAAAGCUAGCUGAACUGUGUACCUGGUAAAAGUAGGCCCAGGAAAACAAAAGUCAGAAAAAGAUUAAUCAAGAAGCCAGAGACAUCUAUUUGCCUUUGAGAAAAUAAGGAUUAUUACAAAGAAAGCCCAAGACAAAGUCAAAGUUCAGCUUUUGAAAUAGAAACUAGGAUUUUUGAGUCUGAGCAAGACAGUAGGCUUAAAAGCCAGGCUUUGUUGAGAAAGGGUUUUCUGAAUUCUUUUAGCUCCCAUUGGCAUAUCUUGGGGGGAAACAGGGGAGGAAGUUGAAAUCUUCAAGAGAGAGCAUCUCCAGUAGAAACCAUACUCCCAGUGAGAUGACUAUAUUUAAACAGAAAGAGGCCAAAUAAGAGCCUUUCAAUUGAUAGAU